CUCUAGAGAUAGAGCCUUCCCCUUCGGGGGACAAAGUGACAGGUGGUGCAUGGUUGUCGUCAGCUCGUGUCGUGAGAUGUUGGGUUAAGUCCCGCAACGAGCGCAACCCUUAAACUUAGUUGCCAGCAUUUAGUUGGGCACUCUAGGUUGACUGCCGGUGACAAACCGGAGGAAGGUGGGGAUGACGUCAAAUCAUCAUGCCCCUUAUGAUUUGGGCUACACACGUGCUACAAUGGACAAUACAAAGGGCAGCUAAACCGCGAGGUCAUGCAAAUCCCAUAAAGUUGUUCUCAGUUCGGAUUGUAGUCUGCAACUCGACUACAUGAAGCUGGAAUCGCUAGUAAUCGUAGAUCAGCAUGCUACGGUGAAUACGUUCCCGGGUCUUGUACACACCG
RNAcentral lists this ribosomal RNA (395 nucleotides) under uncultured bacterium. RNAcentral's name for it is "bacterial SSU rRNA". It matches the Rfam family "Bacterial small subunit ribosomal RNA", at positions 998 to 1392 of the family's 1533-position model. The record is from RNAcentral.